CAGCAGCCGCGGGAAUACCAGCACCUCGAGUGGUCAGGAGGUUUAUUGGGCCUAAAGCAUCCGUAGCCGGUUGCAUAAGUUUUCGGUUAAAUCUAUGCGCUUAACGUAUAGGCCGCCGAAAAUACUGUGCAGCUAGGGAGUGGGAGAGGUACACGGUACUCGAUAGGAAGGGGUAAAAUCCUUUGAUCUAUUGAUGACCACCUGUGGCGAAGGCGGUGUACCAGAACACGUUCGACGGUAAGGGAUGAAAGCUGGGGGAGCAAACCGGAUUAGAUACCCGUGUAGUCCCUGUCUCUUAUAC
RNAcentral lists this ribosomal RNA (301 nucleotides) under uncultured bacterium. RNAcentral's name for it is "partial 16S ribosomal RNA". It matches the Rfam family "Archaeal small subunit ribosomal RNA", at positions 459 to 760 of the family's 1478-position model. The record is from RNAcentral.